GUGGCCUAGUGGUUAGAGCAUCCGCGUCGGAUGCGGGAGGUCGCGGGUUCGAACCCCAGCCAAGUCA
Molecule: non-coding RNA, 67 nt
Organism: Potamilus streckersoni
Lineage: Eukaryota; Metazoa; Mollusca; Bivalvia; Unionida; Unionidae
Source: the annotation of a GenBank genome assembly